CAGUCUUCCUUACACUUACUGAACUGUGUUUUGUCUUGUUUCUUUAGGCACUGGAAAAUCUCAGUUUUUCAAGUUUGCUUCAAGUCUCAGUCCUCGUUCUAUAUUAACUACUGGAGUGGGUACUACUAGUACUGGACUCACUGUUGCUGCUGUUAAGGAUGGCAGUGAAUGGCAGUUAGAAUUAAGCUGGUGCUUUAGUAUUAGCUGAUGGUGGACUAUGUUGCAUAGAUAUGUAUGAGUUUAAUAGUAUUAAUGAUAGGGACAGAUCCUGUAUACAUGAAGCAAUGGAGCAACCAACUAUUAGUGUUG
Amphimedon queenslandica is the source of this 309-nucleotide long non-coding RNA. RefSeq lists it as uncharacterized. The transcript has 3 exons. The record is from RefSeq and is a predicted model, not a curated record. NCBI's taxonomy places the organism in Eukaryota, Metazoa, Porifera, Demospongiae, Haplosclerida, Niphatidae.